Molecule: long non-coding RNA, 1352 nt
Organism: Manis javanica (Malayan pangolin)
Lineage: Eukaryota; Metazoa; Chordata; Mammalia; Pholidota; Manidae
Source: RefSeq, a predicted model, not a curated record
GUGGGAUCCUAGCAAAACACACCUCUCCAGAGACAGAGCGUGCGGUUCCCCGGCUUUCUAAAGCAGGUAGCAAAAGUAGCAAGUAAGAAGAACGGCCUGAGUACGCUUCCGCAACGAUCUAGAAGAUGCAGCACCUAGACUGCUGCAAAGUCUACAGGAGAAAGGAUGGACUGUGAACAGCACGAAGGUGACACAACUGCAUGUGUGAACGGGAAGACUGAAUGACUACUGGAAGAUUCACCUUCAACCUUGCUCAUGAGACUUGAGCCUAUUACCCUCCGGAGUCCCAGAUGACUGAGUACAAAAUGAAAAAAUAAAUGCUCAUCAGAUAAAGUCUGACUCAUUGUGAUUUUGGAAGAAGAAACCACAGGAUGAACACUUGUUUGAUGGGAAGUGUUGAGUAUUUCUGAAGGAUCGGACAAGGCUACCGGACUGAGAAGUUUGGAAGAAAGAAAUGUAAGAGGCUAGAGAGAAGGCAUCAGAAGAGUGAAGGGGAUGUUCUCCUUAUAAGGCUUAAGUCUGGAAAAUCACUCCUCUGGGUAGUUUGUCAGGCCCUUACAGAAAGGUUAUUGGAGACCUAUGUGGUUGUGGCUGACACGGAAGUUUAGCUUAAUAGGGUAAACUUAAUGAGCCCCAUUUGUUUGGAGGCUUUAUCAGAGAAAGGGUCUGUUUCUGUUUGCAGGAGCAAGUCUGGGCAGCACCAAGUCAACCAAGCUCUUGGACACUCAGACACUCUUUGGGCCAGCAUAUUAUGGAGGUAUCCAGUAAGCACAGGACAGUGUCAUUCUAGGGCCUGUGUUCAUCAGUCCCUGACUUUGGUAGCACUGGGCGGGCCUGCUUCCUCCACAGGCUGAGAGGAACCUCCGUACACCUGGAGUCCACCAAGAACAGACGGCCUGGCUACAAGUUCAGGAUGACCACCUCUCAGAAUCUGAAAUAAAAUCUUGCCCUGUGCUUGCCAGAAGGGUUCAGUUCCAUGAAAUCAUUCAAUGCAUAAAAAUAGACCGGGAGUGGGAAAAUAGCUCGGCAAAGGUAUAAAAGGUGUGGUUAAAGACUGGAGUGCCAUUUUAAUGUGGUUGGGCUGUACCUGACUGGUAGUUUUAAAAAAUUAUUCUGUGCCAGACUGAUUGAAGGAGGGUUUUAUUGAUUAUGCUUAUUUUUUAAUAGGAGAGACUUGAACUUUAUAGGCUAAGGGUAAAAACACAGUGAGGUUCAGUGUGGAAAGCCAAGGCAUAACUGAUGGAGGAAACUGACCAUGAUAUGUUUUAUUUAGUUUAUAGCAUCUUUUCAGAAAAUGGCAGCUUAGAGAUUCUUUUAAGUUUCUAAGUUAAGACACAGCUUUUCCAUAGUUC